RNAcentral lists this ribosomal RNA (380 nucleotides) under uncultured bacterium. RNAcentral describes it as "bacterial SSU rRNA". It matches the Rfam family "Bacterial small subunit ribosomal RNA", at positions 30 to 410 of the family's 1533-position model. The record is from RNAcentral.
AUUGAACGCUGGCGGCAUGCCUUACACAUGCAAGUCGAACGGCAGCACGGGUGCAAUCCUGGUGGCGAGUGGCGAACGGGUGAGUAAUAUAUCGGAACGUGCCCAGUCGUGGGGGAUAACGUAGCGAAGGCUACGCUAAUACCGCAUACGAUCUAUGGAUGAAAGCGGGGGAUCGCAAGACCUCGCGCGAUUGGAGCGGCCGAUAUCAGAUUAGGUAGUUGGUGAGGUAAAGGCUCACCAAGCCGACGAUCUGUAGCUGGUCUGAGAGGACGACCAGCCACACUGGGACUGAGACACGGCCCAGACUCCUACGGGAGGCAGCAGUGGGGAAUUUUGGACAAUGGGCGCAAGCCUGAUCCAGCAAUGCCGCGUGCAGGAUG